RNAcentral lists this ribosomal RNA (449 nucleotides) under uncultured bacterium. RNAcentral's name for it is "bacterial SSU rRNA". It matches the Rfam family "Bacterial small subunit ribosomal RNA", at positions 329 to 794 of the family's 1533-position model. The record is from RNAcentral.
GACCAGACUCCUACGGGAGGCAGCAGUGGGGAAUAUUGCACAAUGGGGGAAACCCUGAUGCAGCGACGCCGCGUGAGCGAUGAAGUAUUUCGGUAUGUAAAGCUCUAUCAGCAGGGAAGAAGAUGACGGUACCUGACUAAGAAGCCCCGGCUAACUACGUGCCAGCAGCCGCGGUAAUACGUAGGGGGCAAGCGUUAUCCGGAUUUACUGGGUGUAAAGGGAGCGUAGACGGCGAUGCAAGCCAGAUGUGAAAGCCCGGGGCUCAACCCCGGGACUGCAUUUGGAACUGUGUGGCUGGAGUGUCGGAGAGGCAGGCGGAAUUCCUAGUGUAGCGGUGAAAUGCGUAGAUAUUAGGAGGAACACCAGUGGCGAAGGCGGCCUGCUGGACGAUGACUGACGUUGAGGCUCGAAAGCGUGGGGAGCAAACAGGAUUAGAUACCCCAGUACGA